AGAGUUUGAUCCUGGCUCAGGAUGAACGCUGGCGGCGUGCUUAACACAUGCAAGUCGAACGAGCCUUCGGGCUAGUGGCGGACGGGUGUGUAACGCGUGGGAAUCUGCCCUCAGGAUGGGGAUAACGGCCGGAAACGGCCGCUAAUACCCCAUAUGCCGAGAGGUGAAACGAAUUUCGCCUGGGGAUGAGCCCGCGUCUGAUUAGCUAGUUGGUGAGGUAAUGGCUCACCAAGGCAUCGAUCAGUAGCUGGUCUGAGAGGAUGAUCAGCCACACUGGGACUGAGACACGGCCCAGACUCCUACGGGAGGCAGCAGUGGGGAAUUUUCCGCAAUGGGCGCAAGCCAGACGGAGCAACGCCGCGUGAGGGACGAAGGCCUCUGGGCUGUAAACCUCUUUUCUCAAGGAAGAAGACAUGACGGUACUUGAGGAAUAAGCCACGGCUAAUUCCGUGCCAGCAGCCGCGGUAAUACGGGAGUGGCAAGCGUUAUCCGGAAUUAUUGGGCGUAAAGCGUCCGCAGGCGGCCUUGAAAGUCUGUUGUUAAAGCGUGGAGCUCAACUCCAUUUCAGCAAUGGAAACUACAAGGCUAGAGUGUGGUAGGGGCAGAGGGAAUUCCCGGUGUAGCGGUGAAAUGCGUAGAUAUCGGGAAGAACACCAGUGGCGAAGGCGCUCUGCUGGGCCAUAACUGACGCUCAUGGACGAAAGCCAGGGGAGCGAAAGGGAUUAGAUACCCCUGUAGUCCUGGCCGUAAACGAUGAACACUAGGUGUCGGGAGAAUUAACCCUUCCGGUGUCGUAGCCAACGCGUUAAGUGUUCCGCCUGGGGAGUACGCACGCAAGUGUGAAACUCAAAGGAAUUGACGGGGGCCCGCACAAGCGGUGGAGUAUGUGGUUUAAUUCGAUGCAACGCGAAGAACCUUACCAGGGUUUGACAUCCUGCGAAUCCCUUGGAAACUUGGGAGUGCCUUCGGGAACGCAGUGACAGGUGGUGCAUGGCUGUCGUCAGCUCGUGUCGUGAGAUGUUGGGUUAAGUCCCGCAACGAGCGCAACCCACGUCUUUAGUUGCCAGCAUUCAGUUGGGCACUCUAGAGAGACCGCCGGUGAUAAACCGGAGGAAGGUGUGGAUGACGUCAAGUCAUCAUGCCCCUUACAUCCUGGGCUACACACGUACUACAAUGCUACGGACAAAGGGCAGCAAACUCGCGAGAGCUAGCAAAUCCCAUAAACCGUGGCUCAGUUCAGAUCGUAGGCUGCAACUCGCCUACGUGAAGGAGGAAUCGCUAGUAAUCGCAGGUCAGCAUACUGCGGUGAAUACGUUCCCGGGCCUUGUAC
RNAcentral lists this ribosomal RNA (1330 nucleotides) under metagenome. RNAcentral's name for it is "bacterial SSU rRNA". It matches the Rfam family "Bacterial small subunit ribosomal RNA", at positions 8 to 1386 of the family's 1533-position model. The record is from RNAcentral.